AUGACAGGCGAUGGAGAUGAUUCUGAUUUGGAUUUGGCCUGGAAAAUGUUGAAUACUGCAAGGGUGAUAGUUGCCAAGAGUCCAGAUAAGACAAUGGAGAAGGUUAAUAUAUUGAAUUCUCUGGCUGAAAUCUCCAUGAGAAGAGAGGACAGACACAGCUCAAUCGAUUACUACUUCGAAGCUUUAGCGAUCUUGGAACAUUUGGUUAGGCCUGACCAUUUUCGAUUUUUCCAGCAAAACUACCGCAUUUUGGCCUUUGAGUUAGCAUCCAAGGUUGGGGAUGCAAUCCCAUAUUGUGCAAAGGCUAUUUCAGUAGGCAAGUCGCUUAUGCAUAAUCUGAUAAAUGCCAAGGAAGCUUUGUUAUCUGAUAAAGGACACUUAGGUAAGUCGACUCUAGAAGAUGCGAUAUCUUACCUUGCUAGAAUGUUGCCUCGACUCCAGAAGAAGCUUGAAGAACUGAAGCAAGCAAUGUCAACCCCAAGUGAUAGUAUAGAUAAUAUUAUGAAGAGGGUGGUCUCAGUGACAAGUCAUGAGCAGAAUGUUAACAAUACUAUGGCAAGAACUGCAUCUUUGACUUCUUCACAGAUGGCGGGAUCAAGCAACAGCUUCCAUUCAUCAACUAUGUCUACGGCAGCCGCCAGAGGAAGCACUGGAAGUAGCGUAACUGACUUUGAGAUUGUUGGCAGAGACAUGAAACGAGCUAAUGACAAGAAGAGACUUGCAGCAGAUAAUUCACCAUCCGUGAAUGAAAUGUGA
RNAcentral lists this ribosomal RNA (756 nucleotides) under Triticum aestivum (bread wheat). RNAcentral's name for it is "partial small subunit ribosomal RNA". The record is from RNAcentral. Lineage: Eukaryota; Viridiplantae; Streptophyta; Magnoliopsida; Poales; Poaceae.